ACUCCUGCAAAUCUGAGUCGCUUGCUAAGAUCACCCAUUCUUCCUCAUCGUCUCUGUACUUGAGCUGAAAAGUUCCAUUUAACAAUUUGAAUCUCUUCGCUAUUUCCUCGAGAAGUUGCUGGUAACCGCCGGACGGUAAGAAUUUGAACCUCACCAUGUCGUUCUUAUAUAUAGCCUUUACGGUGAUGGUAGGGCUGUUUUCGUUUAAAGAUGCACUUUUGGGUUUUUUCUUGAAAGUCGGGUGGCUCGACGCGCUGCCGCUGGAAGAAUCCGUCAUGCUGGAGGAAGAAGGAUUGCUGUGUUCCACAAUCCCGUCGUCAUUAUAAUCUAUUUUGG
RNAcentral lists this long non-coding RNA (336 nucleotides) under Ananas comosus (pineapple). Its description in RNAcentral is "long non-coding RNA (ACOM_LNC025286)". The record is from RNAcentral. Lineage: Eukaryota; Viridiplantae; Streptophyta; Magnoliopsida; Poales; Bromeliaceae.